This 253-nucleotide ribosomal RNA is filed under the name uncultured bacterium. Its description in RNAcentral is "partial 16S ribosomal RNA". It matches the Rfam family "Bacterial small subunit ribosomal RNA", at positions 524 to 776 of the family's 1533-position model. The record is from RNAcentral.
UACGUAGGUGGCAAGCGUUAUCCGGAUUUAUUGGGCGUAAAGCGAGCGCAGGCGGUUGCUUAGGUCUGAUGUGAAAGCCUUCGGCUUAACCGAAGAAGUGCAUCGGAAACCGGGCGACUUGAGUGCAGAAGAGGAUAGUGGAACUCCAUGUGUAGCGGUGGAAUGCGUAGAUAUAUGGAAGAACACCAGUGGCGAAGGCGGCUGUCUGGUCUGCAACUGACGCUGAGGCUCGAAAGCAUGGGUAGCGAACAGG